Molecule: unclassified non-coding RNA, 336 nt
Filed under: soil metagenome
Description: partial contains 5.8S ribosomal RNA, internal transcribed spacer 2, and large subunit ribosomal RNA
Rfam family: 5.8S ribosomal RNA (bases 1-120)
Source: RNAcentral
GAUGAAGAACGUAGCGAAAUGCGAUAAGUAGUGUGAAUUGCAGAAUUCAGUGAAUCAUCGAAUCUUUGAACGCACAUUGCGCCCCUUGGUAUUCCAUGGGGCAUGCCUGUUCGAGCGUCAUUUGUACCUUCAAGCUUUGCUUGGUGUUGGGUGUUUGUCUCGCCUUUGCGUGUAGACUCGCCUUAAAAUAAUUGGCAGCCGGCGUAUUGAUUUCGGGGCGCAGUACAUCUCGCGCUUUGCACUCAUAACGACAGCGUCCAAAAGUACAUUUUACACUCUUGACCUCGGAUCAGGUAGGGAUACCCGCUGAACUUAAGCAUAUCAAUAAGCGGAGGA